RNAcentral lists this ribosomal RNA (433 nucleotides) under uncultured bacterium. RNAcentral describes it as "partial 16S ribosomal RNA". It matches the Rfam family "Bacterial small subunit ribosomal RNA", at positions 29 to 507 of the family's 1533-position model. The record is from RNAcentral.
AGCGAACGCUGGCGGCAGGCCUAACACAUGCAAGUCGAACGAACUCUUCGGAGUUAGUGGCGGACGGGUGAGUAACACGUGGGAACGUGCCUUUUGGUUCGGAAUAACUCAGGGAAACUUGUGCUAAUACCGAAUGUGCCCUUCGGGGGAAAGAUUUAUCGCCAUUAGAGCGGCCCGCGUCUGAUUAGCUAGUUGGUGAGGUAACGGCUCACCAAGGCGACGAUCAGUAGCUGGUCUGAGAGGAUGACCAGCCACACUGGGACUGAGACACGGCCCAGACUCCUACGGGAGGCAGCAGUGGGGAAUCUUGCGCAAUGGGCGAAAGCCUGACGCAGCCAUGCCGCGUGAAUGAUGAAGGUCUUAGGAUUGUAAAAUUCUUUCACCGGGGACGAUAAUGACGGUACCCGGAGAAGAAGCCCCGGCCAACUUCGUG